GACGAACGCUGGCGGCGUGCUUGACACAUGCAAGUCGAACGGAAAGGCCCUGCUUUUGUGGGGUGCUCGAGUGGCGAACGGGUGAGUAACACGUGAGUAACCUGCCCUUGACUUUGGGAUAACUUCAGGAAACUGGGGCUAAUACCGGAUAGGAGCUCCUGCUGCAUGGUGGGGGUUGGAAAGUUUCGGCGGUUGGGGAUGGACUCGCGGCUUAUCAGCUUGUUGGUGGGGUAGUGGCUUACCAAGGCUUUGACGGGUAGCCGGCCUGAGAGGGUGACCGGCCACAUUGGGACUGAGAUACGGCCCAGACUCCUACGGGAGGCAGCAGUGGGGAAUAUUGCACAAUGGGCGGAAGCCUGAUGCAGCAACGCCGCGUGCGGGAUGACGGCCUUCGGGUUGUAAACCGCUUUCGCCUGUGACGAAGCGUGAGUGACGGUAAUGGGUAAAGAAGCACCGGCUAACUACGUGCCAGCAGCCGCGGUGAUACGUAGGGUGCGAGCGUUGUCCGGAUUUAUUGGGCGUAAAGGGCUCGUAGGUGGUUGAUCGCGUCGGAAGUGUAAUCUUGGGGCUUAACCCUGAGCGUGCUUUCGAUACGGGUUGACUUGAGGAAGGUAGGGGAGAAUGGAAUUCCUGGUGGAGCGGUGGAAUGCGCAGAUAUCAGGAGGAACACCAGUGGCGAAGGCGGUUCUCUGGGCCUUUCCUGACGCUGAGGAGCGAAAGCGUGGGGAGCGAACAGGCUUAGAUACCCUGGUAGUCCACGCUGUAAACGGUGGAUACUAGGUGUGGGGUCCAUUCCACGGGUUCCGUGCCGUAGCUAACGCUUUAAGUACCCCGCCUGGGGAGUACGGCCGCAAGGCUAAAACUCAAAGGAAUUGACGGGGCCCCGCACAAGCGGCGGAGCAUGCGGAUUAAUUCGAUGCAACGCGUAGAACCUUACCUGGGUUUGACAUGGAUCGGGAGUGCUCAGAGAUGGGUGUGCCUCUUUUGGGGUCGGUUCACAGGUGGUGCAUGGCUGUCGUCAGCUCGUGUCGUGAGAUGUUGGGUUAAGUCCCGCAACGAGCGCAACCCUUGUUCACUGUUGCCAGCACGUUAUGGUGGGGACUCAGUGGAGACCGCCGGGGUCAACUCGGAGGAAGGUGGGGAUGACGUCAAGUCAUCAUGCCCCUUAUGUCCAGGGCUUCACGCAUGCUACAAUGGCUGGUACAGAGAGUGGCGAGCCUGUGAGGGUGAGCGAAUCUCGGAAAGCCGGUCUCAGUUCGGAUUGGGGUCUGCAACUCGACAUCAUGAAGUCGGAGUCGCUAGUAAUCGCAGAUCAGCAACGCUGCGGUGAAAACGUUCCCGGGGCU
RNAcentral lists this ribosomal RNA (1346 nucleotides) under uncultured bacterium. RNAcentral's name for it is "partial 16S ribosomal RNA". It matches the Rfam family "Bacterial small subunit ribosomal RNA", at positions 28 to 1381 of the family's 1533-position model. The record is from RNAcentral.